This 1186-nucleotide long non-coding RNA is filed under the name Salvator merianae (Argentine black and white tegu). Its description in RNAcentral is "lncRNA (ENSSMRG00000002319.1)". Lineage: Eukaryota; Metazoa; Chordata; Lepidosauria; Squamata; Teiidae. The record is from RNAcentral.
AGACAUGUUCUUUUUGUGCAUAAUUCAAUGCUGAGGUUGUAAUGGAUGGUCAAUUUUGGUGGUGGGAGAGAAUAAGUGUACUUGCAACAUAAACAGGCACCCAGCAGGUUUCUUUAGACUCCUUGCUCCAUUUUGCCUCUUUUCCCUCUAUUUUUUUUAAGCUAAAAGUGCACAUAUCAUGACUCCAUGAAAGGUACUCCAAUUCAGUGAGUUCAGUGUGGAGGUAUCUAUUCAGGUUGGGAGGUGUGGGUAUCUGUUUGACUAAUAGGUAAAAUUUAGCUUUAGAAGCCUCAAAGGGAAAUUCAGCUUUUACAAACUGCUUAAAGUGAAACUCAGCCUCCAAAACUGCAUUAGAACCCUGUAACUUGUAAAAUUCACUCAGUCAUGUCUAAUCCUGUUAGCAUUGCAAUUAAGUAACAAAAACCAAUUUUAACUGGCAGUACUUUGUGUUUGCUAUCUCUUGCUGAACUUCUUGCUUGUAUAUUGCCAUUCUGCCUUAUUCCACCAUUUAAGUGCUGUUUAAUAAAGANUGUUAAAUUUUGGAACUCUUAGUAUUUUGAGCACUGCUUUCCACUUCCCCUAUCCUAAGAAAUUCACUACAGAUCAACUUUGCUUCCAUUAGAUGUACACCUUUCAUGCUAAAGAUUCAACAUUGUGAACUGGGAGCUAAAUUCCUCAAACCAGUAUAAACCAGUUAAACCAGUUCACAUAUGAGACUGAUGAUGAUAAAACAGCAGAGGUGAUGGCAAGCUUUUAUGAAGAAUUAUAUAAAGCUCAGUGUCCAAGCAUGAGCAAUUGCAUACCACCACAUUACCCACCAAAAAGAACACCCACUUGCUUGGGAAUCCGAUGUGCAUGUGAGAAACCAUCCAAGCAACCACUGCCAAAUUCAGCCAGAUGUUGCAGUGCGUUGACCAAAACUGAAUCAAUGCUGUCCCCAGAUUUGCCAAUGAUUCUUGCAGACACUCCAGAAUAGACUGUUCUGCGUGAAUGUGGGUCUAGAAGAAAGGACGCCUCCAACCAACAUGUUUGAGAUGCAGCUGCUGUGUCUUUUCACAACCCCACAGUCACUGUGUUGCUGGGAAUUGCAAAUUGUCAGGGACACAACGCAUGUGAAGAGAUUACUAUAACAUCCCAAGAUUUUCCUCCUGGUCAGCAGAAAAAUAAACUUCAUUGGUUGUCCCCA